ACUUCAAAAAAUAAAAAAGUUUCUGGAGUAUUGGAUCAGACUUUUAAAUAACUUGGCAAUAAACAAAAGCUGCCAUUUGGAACAAUUUCCAAAAAAAUAUUCAAAGACAUACAGUAUUGGGAAGUAACUAACCGACACCACCUACUAAAAAUUGUUCACUUACGAAGAGACAAACAUUUUUAUUUCAUAAUCGAGCAGAAUAUUUUUCGGAUUAAAUUGCAAUAGAGAAAAACUACAAUUUGGAAUAGAGAAAAACUACAAUUUGGAAUAGUUGGAAAGUUACACACCGCCACCACCCCAUAAAAACUGCCCACUUCAAAAAAUAAAAAAGUUUCUGGAGUAUUGGAUCAGACUUUUAAAUAACUUGGCAAUAAACAAAAGCUGCCAUUUGGAACAAUUUCCAAAAAAAUAUUCAAAGACAUACAGUAUUGGGAAGUAACUAACCGACACCACCUACUAAAAAUUGUUCACUUACGAAGAGACAAACAUUUUUAUUUCAUAAUCGAGCAGAAUAUUUUUCGGAUUAAAUUGCAAUAGAGAAAAACUACAAUUUGGAAUAGAGAAAAACUACAAUUUGGAAUAGUUGGAAAGUUACACACCGCCACCACCCCAUAAAAAUUGUUCACUUACGAAAAGACAAACAUUUUUAUUUAAUAAUCGAGCAGAAUAUUUUUCGGAUUAAAUUGCAAUAGAGAAAAACUACAAUUUGGAAUAGUUGGAAAGUUACACACCGCCACCACCCCA
Calliphora vicina (urban bluebottle blowfly) is the source of this 744-nucleotide long non-coding RNA. RefSeq lists it as uncharacterized. NCBI's taxonomy places the organism in Eukaryota, Metazoa, Arthropoda, Insecta, Diptera, Calliphoridae. The transcript has 5 exons. The record is from RefSeq and is a predicted model, not a curated record.